RNAcentral lists this ribosomal RNA (460 nucleotides) under uncultured bacterium. RNAcentral's name for it is "partial 16S ribosomal RNA". It matches the Rfam family "Bacterial small subunit ribosomal RNA", at positions 338 to 795 of the family's 1533-position model. The record is from RNAcentral.
CCUACGGGUGGCAGCAGUGAGGAAUAUUGGUCAAUGGACGAAAGGCUGAACCAGCCAAGUAGCGUGAAGGAAGACGGAUCUAUGGGUUGUAAACUUCUUUUAUAGAGGAAUAAAACGAGGCACGUGUGCCUUUUUGCAUGUACUUUAUGAAUAAGGAUCGGCUAACUCCGUGCCAGCAGCCGCGGUAAUACGGAGGAUCCGAGCGUUAUCCGGAUUUAUUGGGUUUAAAGGGAGCGUAGGUGGGUUGUUAAGUCAGUUGUGAAAUUUCGCGGCUCAACCGUGAAAUUGCAUUUGAUACUGGCCGUCUUGAGUACAGUUGAGGUAGGCGGAAUUCGUAGUGUAGCGGUGAAAUGCUUAGAUAUCACGAAGAACCCCGAUUGCGAAGGCAGCUUACUAAACUGUGACUGACAUUGAUGCUCGAAAGUGUGGGUAUCAAACAGGAUUAGAUACCCGUGUAGUC